GUGUCAGCCGCCGCGGUAAUACGGAGGGGGCCAGCGUUGUUCGGAAUCAUUGGGCGUAAAGGGCGCGUAGGCGGCUCAGUAAGUCAGUUGUGAAAUCCCUCGGCUCAACCGAGGAACUGCGUCUGAUACUGCUGGGCUUGAGUCCCGGAGAGGGUAGCGGAAUUCCCAGUGUAGCGGUGAAAUGCGUAGAUAUUGGGAGGAACACCAGUGGCGAAGGCGGCUACCUGGACGGGUACUGACGCUGAUGCGCGAAAGCGUGGGGAGCAAACAGGAUUAGAAACCCCAGUAGUCC
RNAcentral lists this ribosomal RNA (292 nucleotides) under uncultured bacterium. Its description in RNAcentral is "partial 16S ribosomal RNA". It matches the Rfam family "Bacterial small subunit ribosomal RNA", at positions 505 to 796 of the family's 1533-position model. The record is from RNAcentral.